GUGCUUGUAGCUCAGCAGGAUAGAGCGUCCGCCUCCUAAGCGGAAGGUCGUGGGUUCGAAUCCCGCCAGGCACG
This 74-nucleotide transfer RNA is filed under the name Clostridiales bacterium. Its description in RNAcentral is "tRNA-Arg". It matches the Rfam family "tRNA". From Rfam's summary of the family: Transfer RNA (tRNA) molecules are approximately 80 nucleotides in length. Their secondary structure includes four short double-helical elements and three loops (D, anti-codon, and T loops). The record is from RNAcentral. Lineage: Bacteria; Bacillati; Bacillota; Clostridia; Eubacteriales.